Molecule: ribosomal RNA, 1073 nt
Filed under: Enterococcus casseliflavus
Lineage: Bacteria; Bacillati; Bacillota; Bacilli; Lactobacillales; Enterococcaceae
Description: bacterial SSU rRNA
Rfam family: Bacterial small subunit ribosomal RNA
Source: RNAcentral
GGGGGCAGCCGGUGAAGAGGGGAAAGAGGCGGCGUUCGUAUACAUGCAAGUCGAACGCUUUUUCUUUCACCGGAGCUUGCUCCACCGAAAGAAAAAGAGUGGCAAACGGGUGAGUAACACGUGGGUAACCUGCCCAUCAGAAGGGGAUAACACUUGGAAACAGGUGCUAAUACCGUAUAACACUAUUUUCCGCAUGGAAGAAAGUUGAAAGGCGCUUUUGCGUCACUGAUGGAUGGACCCGCGGUGCAUUAACUAGUUGGUGAGGUAACGGCUCACCAAGGCAACGAUGCAUAGCCGACCUGAGAGGGUGAUCGGCCACACUGGGACUGAGACACGGCCCAGACUCCUACGGGAGGCAGCAGUAGGGAAUCUUCGGCAAUGGACGAAAGUCUGACCGAGCAACGCCGCGUGAGUGAAGAAGGUUUUCGGAUCGUAAAACUCUGUUGUUAGAGAAGAACAAGGAUGAGAGUAAAAUGUUCAUCCCUUGACGGUAUCUAACCAGAAAGCCACGGCUAACUACGUGCCAGCAACCGCGGUAAUACGUACGUGGCAAGCGUUGUCCGGAUUUAUUGGGCGUAAAGCGAGCGCAGGCGGGUUUCUUAAGUCUGAUGUGAAAGCCCCCGGCUCAACCGGGGAGGGUCAUUGGAAACUGGGAGACUUGAGUGCAGAAGAGGAGAGUGGAAUUCCAUGUGUAGCGGUGAAAUGCGUAGAUAUAUGGAGGAACACCAGUGGCGAAGGCGGCUCUCUGGUCUGUAACUGACGCUGAGGCUCGAAAGCGUGGGAGCGAACAGGAUUAGAUACCCUGGUAGUCCACGCCGUAAACGAUGAGUGCUAAGUGUUGGAGGGUUUCCGCCCUUCAGUGCUGCAGCAAACGCAUUAAGCACUCCGCCUGGGGAGUACGACCGCAAGGUUGAACUCAAAGGAAUUGACGGGUCCGGCACAGCGGUGGAGCAUGUUGUUUAAUUCGAACACGGCGAAGAACCUUACCAGGUCUUGACAUCCUUGACCACUUCUGAGAUAAGCUUCCCUUUCGGGCAAGUGACAGUGGUGCAUGAUGUCCCACUCUCUGUCUU